RNAcentral lists this ribosomal RNA (370 nucleotides) under uncultured organism. RNAcentral's name for it is "partial 16S ribosomal RNA". It matches the Rfam family "Bacterial small subunit ribosomal RNA", at positions 527 to 896 of the family's 1533-position model. The record is from RNAcentral.
AGAGAGUGCAAGCGUUAAUCGGAAUUACUGGGCGUAAAGCGCGCGUAGGUGGAUGCUUAAGUCGGAUGUGAAAGCCCUGGGCUUAACCUGGGAACUGCAUUCGAUACUGGGCGUCUAGAGUAUAGUAGAGGGAAGUGGAAUUUCAGGUGUAGCGGUGAAAUGCGUAGAUAUCUGAAGGAACAUCAGUGGCGAAAGCGGCUUCCUGGACUAAUACUGACACUGAGGUGCGAAAGCGUGGGGAGCAAACAGGAUUAGAGACCCUGGUAGUCCACGCCCGUCAACGAUGAUAACUAGAUGUUGGGGACAUUGGUCCUUAGUAUCAAAGCUAACGCGUUAAGUUAUCCCGCCUGGGAGUACGGCCGCAAGGUUA